UUGAAAGAUGGCUCUGCUAUCACUUCGGGAUGGACCCGCGCCGUAUUAGUUAGUUGGNGAGAUAAAAGCNCACCAAGACGAUGAUACGUAGCCGACCUGAGAGGGUAAUCGGCCACAUUGGGACUGAGACACGGCCCAGACUCCUACGGGAGGCAGCAGUAGGGAAUCUUCCACAAUGGACGAAAGUCUGAUGGAGCAACGCCGCGUGAGUGAUGAAGGUUUUCGGAUCGUAAAACUCUGUUGUUAAAGAAGAACAAGUGUUAGAGUAACUGUUAACACUUUGACGGUAUUUAACCAGAAAGCCACGGCUAACUACGUGCCAGCAGCCGCGGUAAUACGUAGGUGGCAAGCGUUGUCCGGAUUUAUUGGGCGUAAAGCGAGCGCAGGCGGUUUUGUAAGUCUGCUGUGAAAGCCCUCAGCUCAACUGAGGAAGUGCAGUGGAAACUACAAAACUUGAGUACAGAAGAGGAAAGUGGAACUCCAUGUGUAGCGGUGAAAUGCGUAGAUAUAUGGAAGAACACCAGUGGCGAAGGCGGCUUUCUGGUCUGUUACUGACGCUGAGGCUCGAAAGCAUGGGUAGCGAACAGGAUUAGAUACCCUGGUAGUCCAUGCCGUAAACGAUGAAUACUAGGUGUUGGAGGGUUUCCGCCCUUCAGUGCCGCAGCUAACGCAUUAAGUAUUCCGCCUGGGGAGUACGACCGCAAGGUUGAAACUCAAAGGAAUUGACGGGGGCCCGCACAAGUGGUGGAGCAUGUGGUUUAAUUCGAUGCUACGCGAAGAACCUUACCAGCUCUUGACAUCUUCUGCCAACCCAAGAGAUUGGGCGUUCCCUUCGGGGACAGAAUGACAGGUGGUGCAUGGUUGUCGUCAGCUCGUGUCGUGAGAUGUUGGGUUAAGUCCCGCAACGAGCGCAACCCUUAUUAUUAGUUGCCAGCAUUUAGUUGGGCACUCUAGUGA
Molecule: ribosomal RNA, 957 nt
Filed under: Apilactobacillus kunkeei
Lineage: Bacteria; Bacillati; Bacillota; Bacilli; Lactobacillales; Lactobacillaceae
Description: bacterial SSU rRNA
Rfam family: Bacterial small subunit ribosomal RNA
Source: RNAcentral